Molecule: long non-coding RNA, 332 nt
Organism: Danio aesculapii
Lineage: Eukaryota; Metazoa; Chordata; Actinopteri; Cypriniformes; Danionidae
Exons: 3
Source: RefSeq, a predicted model, not a curated record
GUUCAGUCUCAACGCUGUACAGAGAGCAUCACGCCAUACGACUGAUGAUUGAGCUGUUCAAGAUUGAAAAGAGAAUUUAAACUUAUGCAUUCCAGAUGGCUGAGAUGACCCUUGUUUUAUUCAGAGCUCUGAGAACGGUCAAACAGAAAUACAACUGAAUGGAGAUGUAGAACAGAAGCUGCGUUAAGAAGAACGAUGUGUAUAUGUUCAAGUUGGAUGUCAUUGUGAGCAUGCAGACUGAGCAGGAGCCAAGAGUUGUUAUCCAGACCACAAUGGAGCAGAUCACUUUAUACCGGAGAGGUUUAAAUCUGAGAAAAGAUACAGGAUGAACC